UACAGAGGUCUCAAGCGUUGUUCGGAUUCAUUGGGCGUAAAGGGCGCGUAGGCGGCGGGGUCAGUCGGGUGUGAAAUCUUGGGGCUUAACCCCGAAACGGCACUCGAAACUGCCCGGCUGGAGGGCCGGAGAGGAGAUCGGAAUUCACGGUGUAGCAGUGAAAUGCGUAGAUAUCGGAAGGAACACCAGUGGCGAAGGCGGCUACCUGGAUUGACACUGACACUGAGGCGCGAGAGCGUGGGGAGCAAACAGG
Molecule: ribosomal RNA, 253 nt
Filed under: uncultured bacterium
Lineage: Bacteria
Description: partial 16S ribosomal RNA
Rfam family: Bacterial small subunit ribosomal RNA
Source: RNAcentral